CUGCAGCAUUGGACCAAGUUAUCGCCUGCCAACGCACAGAGCUGGUCGACGGUGAGCGCGAUGCUUCUGAAUUCCGGCUCCGGAAGGGCUGUUACGGAACCGCGCAUGCCCUGAUUGUUCACGCCCUUCCCCACGCUCACCGUUGAUGCCGAUCUUAAUCUUGCCACUCUCAGCACGGAUGCAUGGCACCACCACACGCGAGCGGUUGGGGCGGCCAGCACGCGCGGAGGCGUUCACAGAGCGCUGGGCGAGGAGGGCCAUCGUGACUGUUGGAGGAACAGCUGCAGGACACAGGAGUAGUUUGGCCGGCUAAAUGCAGUCGGUUGAGUAAUCCUAUUGUUGAUAGUAAUACUGGCUGAGGCAAUGGACUUGGAUUAAAUGCUCGGCUGGCCAAGCUUCGAUUCCGGGAUGACCUCAUUCCGGCGGAACCUGCCGUUUAUGGAAGACACCCACCGACCCAGACUCGUCAUCGAGGGAAAUGCCCUAAAUGCACUAAAGGACAUACUCCUAGCUUCCAAGUGUGCAAAAGCUGUCGACGGUUAGUCGCCGAAAGGCAAUCGCGGGGUAUCGCUUUUUGUGGUUGACUCGCCAAAGCUGGCUCCGUAAAAUAUAACGCGCUCAUGUAGGCGUCUUAAAGAAGCUCAAAUAGGUAUCGGCAACGAGUUGUUGCUAGUGGCAGUAGCGACCCCCGUGGGCGUGCCGCAGCGGCAGUGGCGCCCGGGUGAUCCUUGCUCAGCGGGCCUCUCAGCGUUGAUUUCAUGCGCAUUUGUACUGGGCCGCUUUGUACGACUGUGUGAAUUACGCAACCUUCGGCCGUCCGCACGGCACGGGCCUGCAGCUGCCCGCGGGCGCUCUGGCGAUGGUGAGCGAAGCCGCUCAGGAGUGUUUUGCUUGCACGCGAUUGCUGGGGGUUAUGAGAUCUUGCCAGUCGGGUCGCAAGUAACGUGACAUGAUUGGAUUAGCGGCUGGUUCGCUUGACGGGGUGGGUGCCGGCAAUUCAGGGGUACAUCACAAGUGCCAAAGCCUUGCCACAAUGCCGCUGCUGCUGCUGCAGCUGUUGCCCACAAGCGCCGUUGCACCAGCACAUCGGCAGUACUGUACACAUACGGUACAGAGAGACUGAGGGAGUUCGUACAUGCAAACAGGAGCGUAUGGAUGGCACGUGCUGUAGAGGUGUGGGCGCGGACGUGGCGGCCAUGCGGGCGGGGGGAUGACUGCAGCAGCCGCACAGCAGGUGACACAUUGUGAUAGGCUUCGUGCACACAUGGUAGCACCAUGCGCAAGGUUUGCUGCGCUGAUUACGUAUAGCAUUACGGUGGCACCGGCACUGUGAGCGGCACCGCUGGCUGUCACCGCCGUGUGUGUUGUCAUGUGUCAGUCGGCUGCCGUAUUAUCAUUGUUUUCCCGAGGUUUUCCUAGGGCUUCAAGUCGUGCUUCACAACCUUGCGCUUCAACUAGGAAUAGGAUUCAGACUGGGACUGGCGCAUGGUGUUGGGUGUCCGACCGGGCCACCGGGGUACCUGACAGGGCCGCUCGAGGACCCGCCUUCCUGACUGGGCCGCCCAUGCGUGCAUACCGGAACCCACCGCACGUGCCCCGCUUAUGCAGGUAGGCGCAUGCUGACUGUACAUGCAGCACACCAUGGCGCUCCAGCAGCAUCGUGGUGACACGAGCUGCACCCGGCUUGCGGCGCUGGCUCUUCCAGGACGGCUUACCACUAUGCAGGCGCCCGGCGGUUGGCUGGCGCUUCGCCCUGUCACUAGCAACCUUGUUCGCCGCUUUAAUGGCCGUGGUCGGGUGAUAUCGUGUGUGCGGCACGGCGCAACUACUUAGGCCCCCGAGUGCACCGGGGCGUGCCGCUGAUGACCGGUGCCCGCGUGCUGGUAUUGCUGUCAGCAAUUUGUCAUCCCCUGCAUGGCGGCGGGCUGCAUGGGCGUUGUGUAGCGGAGUUCUGAGGAGAUUGCAUUGGUUACAAGAGGGACCUUCUGACGCAGUUCACGAGCCAGUGACGUGGAGAACGAACACCCUGCUCUGGACCCACGCCGUCGGCCUACUCUAGCUCUAGUAGGCUUGCUCCCAUAGGACGCUCCUCCCGUCAUACCGAACAUGUUACUAGGUGCCAUCACUCCACCUCCUCUUCCAUUAUGACACUUCGGUUCUGAGGAGUUGUGCCAGACCGGCCAUGGCGCAUGGCACCUUCCUUACAGCUGCGCGGGCCUAGCGCUUGGUGUGGCCGUCAUCGGGAUGGAUAAACAGCCAGCAGCAUGGAGCUGAUCGGCACGAUCGCACUAGGGAGGGUUGGGGCUGAGCCGGACUUAAGCCUUGACCUUAACUGGGCGGUAUGCAGCUGUCACCGUCGUGUCCGCGCCCUCACUCCUCAGCGACCCGCGGCCAACGCCAGGUAGGGGAGUGAGGAGGCCGCCUCCGGAGUCUGCUAGCGGAGAAGGGAUGCAGUGAUAUGGGGGCUACAUGCGUCUUCGGGCGGAGCCAGAGCCGGGCAGAGAGGGUUCCAGCGGUCUACGAGCGCGUGCCGCAGUGCUCGUGCCAGCAGUUUCCGGGAUUCGUGCGGCCGAAUUGCACGCUGCGUCGCUUCCGGGCUAUAUAGAAUGACUGCUUAAUAUGGGCCAUAUGCAACUGCAUAUCUGCCCUCUUAAACGCCAUAGAAAUUUGUAGCGCUGACUGGUCGCUGCUGCCAACCACCGCUUCGACACCAGCCAUCGCUCCGAGCAUCCCCGGCGCGCGCCUGCGCAACGUGCAAUCAUGGCGCUAGAGGCUGGCGUGAUGGCUAUCACUGUGGAGUUCGCUCAGGACCUGAACAACAAGGAGUGGUUUGGCAGGUGAGCUUUGGGCGCUUUCAGGUUCCUGCGGGGCCAUCCAUUGGCCUCGCGAAACGGCUCCCGCGGGCCGGUGCCUCAAUAACCUAGGGCUGCUAGUCAUACUGGCUGCUAAGGAGCCUAAUCGCCAUGGUCCUGGCAACCCUUCUUUCGCACCGCCCGUGCGGCCUGCUUCCUGCAGCUGCCCCUCCUGGGCGACGAUUCCUUGACAAUGGGGACCGAUAUCGUGGGGCUCGGGCAUUCACCCCCCCUGCUGUUGCUUCCCCCUUUUGCAUUCCCCAGGCAAGAUCCCUACUGCGUGGUGCAGGUGGGUGGCCAGAACUUCCGCACCCGUGUGGCCACGGACGGCGGCCGCAACCCCGUGUGGAACGAGACAUUCCGCUUCGAGAUCCUGAAUGAGAACGAGCUGCAGCUGGAGGUCAAGGACGACCAGCUGGGCCACGACGCCGUGCUGGGCACCGCCUCCAUCUCCUUGGCCCGCGCCCGGCAGCUGGGGGCAGACCGCGUGGAGGCUGCCGUCAUCAGCCCCCGCCACCGCACGCAGCACGGCGUGGUGUCGGUGGCCAUGCAGUGGGAGCCCAACGGCGGCAUGCGCCCGGGAUACGGCGGCGGCGGCUACAGCGCGUACGCAGCGCCCCCCAUGCCCAUGCAGCAGGCGCCGCCGCCCAUGCAGCAGUACGGCGGCGGCUACGGCGGCGGCUAUGGCAAUGCGCCCAUGGCGCAGCCGCAGCAGGGGUACGUGGAGGAGGUCGUGGUGGUGGAGCAGCCCGCGCACCACCGCCACCACCACCACCAGCAGCAGCAGCAGGAGGUGAUCGAGAUUGUACGGCCCUAUUGAUGAGGCGGCGGACGGUGUCCUUGAUGCUAGCAACGGAUCGGAAGCAACCGGGCCACGCCGGGCGCGGCACGUUCGGAAGGCUAGCGGCGGGCCCGCUUAAGCACGUACACUUACUGUACUGUGUGUGCGUGUGUGUGCGUGUGUGUGCGUGUGUGCGUGUGUGACUGGAUGUCGCUGAGGGCUCUAUAGGGUUUGGUCGACAAUGUCCGGCCGGCGCACAUGGACGGCUGCUGGGUGGGGAGCUGUGGUCAUGAUGGCAUACGGUAGUGGUGACGCCGUGCGCUACGGUAGUUAUAGGGCCCAGGGGUGGCAACAGGUAUGGCCGGUUUACUUGGCAUGUACGGUAGGUGGGGGCAAGAAUGGAUGAGAAGCGAGGCUACGCCGUGUGGCUGUGCCCGUAGGAAAAGGGUGCGCCUCUGAGUGAACACCGGGUGCGCUGAGCCCCUGGGCAACUGCUUGUUGAUUUCGACACAUACUGGUUUGCGGCGUGAGUGACAGUGUAACCUUGAUUUCGUUAGUAUGGCGCGCCCACACACGGUACGCCUUGGGCGGGUUGGGCCGGGUAGGUGACGACAGGUCAGCUGGAUGCGUGUAGAUGCGUCCUGUUGUCAGUAUCAGCGUCGUCAGCCCAGUGCAUCAGCGCCGCGGCCGCACCUGAAGCUACCGCCACACCCACUCAAAUGAGUUCUGAGCCUGAGCCAAGGGGUGCCUGCAGGCGCAGUACGGUAUAGCAGGGUGCCCUGCAGUGUAGGGAAGGCUGGUGGGGUCAAUGCAGAGGCUAGCGGUGAGUCGGCGACAGCACUUGAUGAAUCCGAGUUCCCGGGUUCCGACUCCAGAGCGCCGCUCCCGGGCACCCGGGCAGCACAAGGCUUACAGCCAGGGGAGCUCACGAUUCAUUCACGGCAGAAUGACUCCGGCGCUAGGCUCGCAGUACCUGCGGGUGCAGAACAUUGCAGCCGGGGAGGUGGCUGAGCACAGUUCCUGCCGGGAAACUCAGCAGAAGCGCAAUGAACAAAGGCCUGGCGGCAGCUGCAUUUGAUGCGGGCCCCGUCAGUCCCGUAUUUCGUCAUGGAGUAAAGCACUUCGGGGACAUGCAGGUGUAGGCACCGCGGCCCGUGCGCCCCGGCAGAGCCUCACCAUGGAGCAUACCAGAACAUGCGGCCGCUGGCCCCCACAACCCCAGGGUUGCACAGGUCCCACCGUAUGCAUGCAGGGGAGGCCUCCGUACACCGGCGGACAUGGUUGGAGCAAAGGUGCAAUGCCGUAUCCAAGCAUAGGAUUAAGCAAAUGGAAGGAAAGUGUGGAGUAAAUGGGCCCUGCGCAGGGAGGCCUCCCCUGCCCUGGACUGAGCCUGACAGUCGUCAGUCGAAGGAAAGUGUGGAGAGGCAGGGGAGGGGGGAGGCGGACCAGCCACUGGCAGUAGAACGCUUUUCACAUUCGGCUUGCAAACAAAGGGAAGUGUGGAGAGCCUGGCACGAGAGCCUGGGGAGGGGCUGGGGGGCGGUCCAGGGGAGUCGUAACCCGUUACGUUACGUCACCUGUGACCGUGUGCAUGCCGUGGCAAAAUUCACUACUGUUAGCUCUAUCACUCUGCAUGUUUCUCCUGGACCGGCCUGGACCCAAGGGCGCCUAGCCGUUCUUUGCGUUGGCAAGCCGCAAUGCGUGCGGCUGCCGCAGGGGCGCCUGGCCCAAGGCCUGGCCGCGUCGAUACGGGCGUACCACCGCAUAACGGUUUUGGUUUGGUGUUCCCGCCAGCAACGUCUCCGCUAGUGCCCUCGAUGUGACACAGACUAAACAUCAACAUGUGUUGCCCAGAUACAUCGGGUUUACCAGGGUUGCAUGCGUUAUCUUGCAUUCAAAGGCACUGAUGCAUCUUUGGAUCGCAAUAUCAAACACAGGCGCCGACAGCAUCCGCAGCCCCCGUUUCCCCCCAGUUAAAUGUGCCGACAGCAGCCUCGUCUCAGCCGAGCGACUUGAGCUAGAAAACGCUUCAUAGAUGAUGCUCCGAUCACAAAUUGUAUUCUCAGGGCUUCGCCGGCUGACACCGAUGAUGGGGGCGAAACCGCCGUGGACGACCGCCAAGAUCGUCCAUCCUGGCAGCUUUGCCGAGGACGGGUCUGUACACAACUGUAUAAUAUCGUGGCACUUUUAUUCAAACAACAAACGGUAGCCCGGCACAUAAACAGUUAUAAGUCGCGAUUUCAGGCGAGGUAGAGCAAGGCCGCCGCGCUUACCUCCUAUUACGUCGGCUUGUUGGGCCGGCCGUGCGAUAAACUGACCUUGACGCCUCGGUGUACGCCGUUGCGAGCGACCAGUCGUGAGCCACCGGUUGAGAACUACCUGAGUUUGCCGUCGCCACGUGCACACACAGUCCCAGCACUCAUCUAUAGCUCUAUUGGAUGGAUAUUGCGGCUGCGUAUUGAAGCUGGUUUGCAGCGUGCGGUGCGGUGCUCAAAACAUCAUGAGCUGCGCCCGCUGGCCUGUCUUCAAUGCCUGCAUGGCCAUUCUAGUGCUAGCUACCUGCUUGCAGCUUGGUUAUGGUCGGCACUUGGCGGGUGAGUGCCUGCGUUUUUGUGAAGACUUAAGGAUCGCGAGCCUUUCGCUUGCCUUUGUGCUUCUGUGCAAGUUUGUUGGUGCUCAAAAACAGUCGUUACAACCUUCUUUGACGGUGCUUUAUUCAUAACGCAUUGGUACCGCAGGCGUACCCCGGCGGUCCGCUGUUGAAGCGCUUCCUUACGUCUGGGACACUUCUCUAUGUGUCUCCUUCAACGCGGACGACUUCGCGCCUCUGAUGUCCCGGCAGGGCGCGGGUAGGUGUUGCUGACAACCCGUCCUCAAAGACGUCUGACCUUUCAUUCUUUCCGUCGUCGACGCACCCUGCUGCACCCCUCUGCCCCGCCCCGCUGUGCGCUUCCCGUCCCCCCUGCCAGUGCUGGGCUAUGUCACGGUGCGCUCGGGCGCUCCCCGCAGUGCGCCGCGCCAGCCCGACGGCACCACCAUGCUGCGGCUCGACGUGACGCUGGACGGCGAGGCCGACGCGCAGUACGUGCUGGCGGCGCCGCGGCUGACGCGGGGCCAGGACGCCAACGCCACAGCCAUGCCGGUGAGUGAGUGUGCCUGGCUGCGAGGGAGCUCGGGCUGGGACCAUGGGAGGGCACACACUCUACGCGUCAGGCCACCGUGGAUUCCGAAUGGCUGUUCAGCCCGCUUCCUUCUCAGCGCGCUGUAUGCCGUCUCCCCAUGGCUUCUCACCUCCGGCCAACCUGUCCCUGUCCUGGACAGGCCAACGUGUACGCCUCCCUGUCGCGCCGGGAGCCAGACGCCUGCCCCUCCACCGUGCCCGCACACCGCGCCGCCGCCGCCGCGGACUGCGGCUCCCGCCGCGCCAGCCUGGUGGUGGACGUGCCCACCAGCCUGUUCCGCUGCGCCGCCGAGGAGGAGUUCCGCUCUUUCUUCGUGCAGGUCGGAGUGGACCUGGCGCCCGCCAGUGCCGGUGCCGGUGCCGGUGUGGCCAAUGGAUCCGCCACCUGCGCCAACGCAACGCACACCGCCUUCGCGGGCGCGCCGCAGAACUCGCUGACCACUGGCUGCUCCUACAUCCUGGUCACAGCCGCCUGCAGACCAGCCACGUGUGCGGGCGCGGUGGCUGGCGGCGCCAAUGGCAGCGGCAGCUCGGAGACGGACGGCAGCGCCAUCGCCGGCCUGACCGCCACAGCCCUGGUGGGCCACGGCCCCGCGCUGGAUGCGGCGGCCGACGGCGGUGCGGGCGGCGCCAAGCACGUGACUGCGGCCAUUGCGGGCGGCCUGGCGGGCGGCCUGGCGCUGGCGGCUGCGGUGGUGGGCGUGUACGUGCUGGCCCUGCGCUGGCGGCUGCGGCGGGCGGUACAGCAGUACGGUGAGGACCAGGCGUUCGACGUGCUGUACGGCAAGAGCCGCCACUGGUCGGGCACUGGCAGCGGCGGCCGCAGCGCGGGCAUCAGCCGCAGCAAUAGCGGCGUUAGCAACAGCAGUGACGGCGGGGCAGCGGACUACGCCGUCGCGACCUCAACGCCAGGCGGCAAGCGCGCCCGCGCCCGCACGCCGCGAGGCUUCACGUCGCAGGCCGGCCGCACCCCGCGCGGCGGCCUGGGCGCAGUUCGUGCCGACGACGCCACCAGCCUGCUGGACGGCGGUAGCUUCGUGGCCGCACGCAGCGGCGCCGCGUACGGCGCCGCACCCCAGCACGCGCCCAAGCGCCGGGGCCACCCAGCAACCGCCUCAGCCGCCGCCGCCGCCGCCGCCCCCUAUGGCGGCGCGCAGUACUACGAGGGUGGCAGCGGCUGCAGCACACCCCGUGGCGUGGACCCUGCUGCUGCUGCGGCGGCGGCGCUGCCGCCCACGCUGCCCAGCCUGUUCAGCCGCAUGCCGCUGGGCGCCGCCUCCGACUUCGCCGCGCUGACCCGGGGGCCGGCCGCGUCGCCAUUCGUGGGGCUGCAGCUGGACCCCACACCCGAGGGCGAGGCGGGCGAGGCGCCGUGCAUCGGCAUGGAGCUGUACGGCUCCGUGCACGGCGGCACUGCUGCUGCUACAGCCUCGCCGCACUUGGACUAUGAGUACGAGGUCAAGACGCCGCGCGCCAUGCAGCCGCUGGCGCCGCCGCCGGCGCAUCCGCGCCUGCAGCAGCUGCAGCUGCUGGUGCCGCCCGGCUCUCCCGCGCUCUCGGCGGCGGGCAGCGUGGCGGACGCACCCGGCAGCGCCAGCCACAGCCGCUUCGUGCCGCGGGGCUCGUGGAACGGCGCAGGUGCCAGUGCCGCGCCGCAACCGCAGCUCUGCCUGCAGCAGCACUGCCUGCAGGCGGGCACUCCCCGCAGCCGCUCGCUGGCGCCCCAGCACCUAAGAGGUGUGCACUUCGUGCCGGCGGCCUCGCCCUCGGCGGCUGCGUCGCCCUGCCCCGGCUCUCCGGCCCUGCCGCCAGCAGGCGGGUCGCCCACCACUGGCGGCAGCGGCGGCCGCUCGCCCGCGAGCGGCGGUAUGGUGGCUCUGGCGCUGCUGCGAGGCGCCGGCUCGUGUGCGGCUGUGCAACGCACAGGGAGCGGCCACUCUCAGGCCGCCACUGCAGGCGGUGUGGUGGAGGCGGCAAGGGAGGCGGUGACUGCUGACGCCACCUCGUUGCCGGCAGGCGCACGGACCGCCGCGCUGCGAGCGCCGGCGGACUGGGAGUCGCUACGGAAUGGGGCCGGCCCUGCCGCAGUGUCGGUGGUGCGGCCCGGCAGCAGCCUGGAUGGCCGCAAGCAGUGGUAGCGUGCCAGUCGCACAUCUUGGUCCGGCACCAGCCUUGCACGGAGUCUUGCAUGAUUGAGUCAGUGCGGGGUUUGAUUUUGUAAGACUGUAUGACACUGGACAAGUGUUCCCCGGUCACGGGAAAAGGGGCUGAGCCCCUCCACAGUCUGAGGUCGAACAACCUCAUCGCCCGGACAUAGCCGGGGUCGGUUUCCACAGGCACAUAGCCAAAUGGUUUUGCAUGACACUGGAAAAUAUUUUAUGUUGCUAAAGCGCUGAAACGCACUGCUUUGCUGCGGUUGCAACCCAUUGUGUUGGCCGCAAUUUGGGGGCUGUUGAAACGAUUAAUCAUGUAGGCGUCCCUUUGACGCAACAUUCCAUACAGCAUAUCUUCCAAUCAUGUCGUGUCCACUCUUGGGCACAGCUUGGGGCAAACCCAGUAUGAGUUGCACACGGCGCACAAGACAUGGCCAUCACACGAGCACAGUCAUGCAUACAAGCACAGUCAUGCACACACGCGCACGGCGGCACGCUCCGUCAACAAGAACAACAAGCGACACGCAGCUGCGGACUGAGGCCAUAACCGGUCCGCGCCAUCAAGCAUUCCUAUCAUCUAUAGACUGCACGCACUGGGGCCGCGGAGUCAUUAUUGCAUGCGUGUGUGAUUGUGGAGAGCCGCAGCGUGGGUGGCGUGUGACUCCAUCCAUUGUCACCCGUUGCACACCGCAGCCUGCGCGGUGCGGCUAAGGCCAGCUGGGCUCAAACUAGCUGGUCAAGGCUUGCACUUCUCCCUUUUGUGUUAAUGGGAGAUGUGGUUGUGCCGCCCGAGUGUUGCAUACAUGCAGUAUGGUUGCUUGGGUAAUUCAGUAUAAUAUGUCACGGUUACAUCAAUAGUCGUGGAAUGCGCAGGGUGCUUGUGAGCCAGAGUGCUGUCGGAGUGUGUGAGGGCCGCUCGACUCUGCAACAUAUCAGAGCAAUGCGAGUGUUAGUGGUCACCGGGCACGCAGUUAUGUUGCAGACCGAAACCACAGCGCGCUGCGCCUGCGGCUGGAGCUCACGCCCCCGGCAUUCCGCGGUUGAGAGACCAGGCAGGGAAUGGAUGCAAGGCCAGGACCCCAGGGCCCUGCAUGCGGUACUGCGGCAGGUGUUUGGCAGGCAAUCAUUGGGCAAAACCCCUUUCGUGGCUGAUGUUAUGACGCUGAGAUUGUUGAAUGUUUUACAAUGCAUGUUGGCAUGCAUGGAAUGCGGAGUGGCGCAUGCAGGCAUACGGGUAGCCGUGCUUCGGGUCGAUUGUGUUGGAUGAUGUAGUUGUCCGAACUUAGUGGCCUUAGCUUUCCUGGCAAAUCACAUAGAUGCAGGAAGGAUGCGGCGUGUGGCGGUAGUGAGGCUGGGAGAUGGGGGCCCAUGAUCGACCCGUCGUGCAGUGGACCCCUUCUUUCCUACCGGCCAGCCUGCUCCUUACUGCAGCACGGCGCAACGGCGGCGCAUAUCACCUUGCGCCUCGCAACGGCCCUGCGCCAUCUGCGUGUCUCCCCUAGUCGCAUUUUGCCUAUCUGUACACUCGCCCGCCCGUGUUACCUAAUUAGCAUGCUCCUGCCACGCGGCACGCGGUGAUGGCGAGCAUUGUGUUGGAGCUGGUGGGUAGACACGCUUACGUUUUAUGUGCGUUGUGCUGGUGUUGGUGUAAAGAGGAUGGUCUUAGGGUGGUAGGUAUAGGUAGAAGCGCGGUUCAGAGCGCAAGGUAACGGGCUAAUUGUGAUGUGAACUUGGCAACAGCGAAUGACCUGCACAGCCGUGUACCUGGGCUUGGCUUGAGCACAAGCAGUGGAGCCUAUGCGCUGAAAUGUGCGCGCAGUUUGUAAGUUGGGAGUGUGUGUGCUGCAGCGUGUGUGUGCAGAGUUUGGAGGACAGGGCACUUAUCCUGUCCUCCUGCCGUCCGGCCGAGGUCUUUGAUGUGGUCGGUUGAUCCUGUCUUAGCGCUAGCCCUCUUACACCGUCCUGAGUGGUCGUCUGUCCUAGGCGCAAGCUCAACAAAUGGCUUCGGCGUGUGUGGACGCCGCGUUGUCGAGAGCCACGGAUGGCCCUAGUACACCAUGGGGGCAAGUCGCACCCGUGGAGCCGUGGAGGGCACUGUAGGUUACCGUGCUCGCGAUGCUUUGCGGAACUUCUGGGCAGCAGCAAAGCCGCACCAAUUCAUGCCACACGGGGCAGCGCGCUUGCCGUCGUGCUUCUACAGGCUGGACAGAGCAUACACACGUGAGCGCUGCAGACACAAUGCCACCGUAACUGUUUAACGUAUGAUGAUGAUGAUGAUGAUGUGUUACAGGGUUGGGAGUGUCCGUUCCUGAACCUGUAACGAGGCUAACCGAGCUGCAAGGGCUCUUCGUCUCUCCUGUUUGCGUCAUUGUGAGCUUCGUACACACGCAAGGCAGAUCAUCGUAACCUCAGGAGCUUGUUACGUCUAGCCCAGAUAUCACGAAGACACCAUGCCAGCUGCAGUUUUGAUCCGCACCAUUCAUGGUCUGUUGCAUGUUGCAUUGUUGCCACAAGGGAGAGCGCAUCAGGGCAGAGGUCACGGCUGGCACCGGCUGGGACGCAAGAGCCUCAGUGGCUCUCCGUGUGUCUCGUUCCAGGCGGACGAGUCGGCGCCGUUGGUGAGUGUUGGCGUCGUCGCUGGAUGGCGCUGGUAGGCUGCGGGGUGUCCUGGUUGGGUUUGUGCCAGCAGGUGCCACGGACGACACGAACACGUCUGGAUUUAUAAGGCCUGGCAUGUGUAGGACAUUAGCUAUGGCAGUGGUCUGCAUGCCACGUGCCCUCCGCCUGCUUACCCCAAGCCCCGGCCCGCCUGCUGCCUGCCUCCCCCUUAGAGUGCUGGGACAGCGGAGAUGUGGACCCUCCCCCUGCCUCCCUAGGCGUGCAGCAGCCCACUGGACACCGCAUUCGCGGGGCCCCGCGCAAAUUCACUAUACCCCGGCUGCUCCUACCUGGUCAUUACAACCGGCUACCACCCCGCCGCCUGCCCCAGUGCGCCGCCAUCACCACCAGCACCACCGCCCGCAGUGGCUGGUAUCAGCAGCGGCAGCGGCGGCGCCUCCCCCGGCAAUAAGGCGCGCGGCAGCACUCCUCCCAAUGCCGGCAAUGGUGUGCUCGCAGCAGCGGGUCUUGCCCCCAACGCGGCGGCGGCACCGCAAGGAGACUGUGACAGUAGCAGUAGCAGUAGCAGUAGCAGUAGCAGUAGCAGUAGCAGUAGCAGUAGCAGUAGCAGUAGCAGUACGGCCAUUCUGGCGGGCGCUGUGGCUGGUGGCGCCAUCUUCCUGCUGGCUGUAGCAGCUCACACUAGCAAGCAUUUCUCUCUCAGCUGUUCUGUACAGUAGGGCAUGUUCGUGUACAGCAAAAGGCGGAAAGGGCAGGGCGGGUGGACAAGGACGAAGAAGCAGGGGGAGCUGCCGCCUUGGGUAUGGGCAGCGGUGUUCACGGUGAGGAGCUUGCGGCGGCGGUGGCGGCGGUGGUGACGGCGGCGGCCGCCAACGGCCGCAGCAGUGGCAUGAACCUCGCUUGGUAGGCAUGGCGGCGGCUCUGAUGGCGGUGGCGGCACUGACAGUGGCAGCGCAAGUGGCGGCGGCGCGACCAGGGCUCCUAUCUUAAUGUCUCCAGGCAUAAAUUGGCAAUUUUGGCCGUUUCCUAGACAUUCCUCCCAGGGACUAAUGUCUGAGGCAAGACAUUGUUGGCCCGGGUUUGGGGCGGGUUUUGUUGUCCGAAUUCCUAUGGAGAAGCCCCCAAACCGCCAUGUGCCCAAACAAAAGACGGCGGCCACCCGGCCGUUUUUGUCUGAGCCUAGAUUGCCCUGAAAACAAGAUACGACCCCUGGGCGCGACUAACCCGCUGUUCAACUCGCAGCACCGCAGCUGGUCUGCCGCCAACAUGGUGGGCGUUGGUGACGAGUUUGACGGCGCCGCAGGUGCGUGUCAGGAUGGCGCAAAAACGUAUUCGGGUGGUGCGGGGCCUGCGUCAGGAAUCGGGCCAGACCUGGCAUUACCUCGAAGCAGGUUCGCCCCGAUCCCACGCGCACGAAAGACCCGCAGGAGGGUCGCAGGGUACUGCUGUGGCCAGCCAGGGCCCCUGCACCUGCAGCUGCCACAGCUGCUGCCCUUGGAGCGGCUGGGGCGGGGCCAGGGACUAGACGGCCGCCGUCUCUCCUGUCGCGAACACGGACAUGCACACACACUGUGUAUUGGUAGGCCCCAAUACAUCGGCGGGCGCGUACACCUUUUGGUACCCUCAGCACACACCUUGCAUGUUUCCUUCCCUUGUGCUCUCUAGCACAUCUUGUCUAUGGUGCAGUCUUCUGGUACUGGCGCUUUCCAGCAAUUAACCCCACCCAAUGCAGCCGUGCGCCCAUCCAUGUAUGCCACAUCACCGCUGCUAGACGCUGCCAUAACAGCCCCACUUACAGCUGCCGCGUUGUCCCAAGUUAUAUACACAUCCUUGACAUCCGGCGCAUGCUGCAAAACUUGCACCUGCACCUUGGCCACACAGCGCGCAUACUUGCGAGACUGUUUAUUGUUCAUUAACUGACACCAUUGUCCCGUGCCAUUGUCCCAAACGCAAAUUAAACGGCCGCACACACCGCACCACGCCACGCCAGCAAGCGCGCGUCGGCCCUACCGGCGCAGCGGCCCCUCGCUCGCACCCACCGCGCCUGCGGCCGCGCGCGCCACGUCCCGGUGCAGCAGCAUACGGCUGAGUCGGGUGGGCUGCGCUGGCGGCCGCGCCACCGGCAUCUCGCAGCUGCCCCCGCCGUACCGCCCGCCACCGCCACCACCGAUACUGCCCACGCUACGCGUGCUGCCUGCACUGCUGAGCGCUCGCGGCCCAGUCGCUCCGGCCUGCGGCGAGGGGUGGCCGCUGCCUCCUCCGCCUCUGCCUUCACCCACGCUGCCGGCUGAAGCGAAGGAGGCAGCGCUGCCAUGCCCCUGGGGUGAGCCCAGGUGCAUGGGCCCCAGGGGCGGCGGCGGAAUGAGCGGGUGCGGGUGCAGGUACCUUGUCGGUGUGGAGGCGCCGCUGCUGCCGCAGCUGCUGGCGGCGCUGCCAUAGCCGCUGCCACCACCACCACCACCACCACCACCACCGCCAUUACUGCCGCCGCCGCUGAGCCGCCACGCGGCCUUGUCCCGGUGCCAGCCAGCGGGGCCGGCACUGGCGGGACCGGCGCCCGCACCGCCUCCGCCACCACCACCACCACCACCACCACCACCACCACCACCACCACCACCGGAUCGGCUUUGGCCCCAUGAGCAGUGGUCGUGGGGGCACAGGCCGUCGUCGGCAUGCCCCCGGAGGUCCGUGUCGUCCCCCACGGCGGCGGCGCCGCACACCACCACCAGGUCACCGCCGACUCCCGCCACCCCAGCAAAUGAGCUCCGCGCGCGCCGCCGCGCCGCCACAUCAUCAUGGGCACCCGCAGCGCCGCCACUGUCCGUGUCUUGCCCCUCCAGCGUGCAAACCUCGGGCAAGGUUGUGAGCGGCAGGGAGCCAUAGCUCAUCAGGCUUGGGCGGCGACUCGCCUGUGGAACGCCGCCCGCGCCGGUACUUGCCCAGUCCGCGGCGGCGACGCCACCGCCGCUGUUGCCGUUUGCUCCAGUCCCGCCGCCACCGCUGUGCCGGCUCUGCAGCCGGAACAGCGGCUCUGAGGCCGUCUGACCCUCGCCCCGCACGUUGGGAGGCGAGGAGUGCAGCUGCUGCAGGAGGAGCGGUGGGGGCGGCAGCUGCAGUCCCACGCGCGGGCCUUUGCAACCACUGCCACCACCUGUAAUAGUGGCCCCGGGCCUGCCGCCGCCAGCGGCGGUGGCCUUGCCACUCCCGGGCUGUGUGCCAUCCACGGACCGAAACACGGACAUGCGGGCAGGCGCAGACCCCAGAACCGCCGCCGCCGCCGCCGCGAAUGGUGCCUUGCCUGGAACUGCGACCUGUGCCACCCCGCCAGAUGACGAACGAAGCUGGCGCGGCCGCUGCUGCUCGACGCCGCUAUCACCGCCGCCGCCGCCGCCGCACCUGUCGCCGCCCUCCACCUCGGGCGGCAGCACUGGCGGCGCCGCCACUGGGAGCUCGUAGUCGUCAUCGGGGCGCGGCAGCGGCGCCCGCAGCCGCCCGCUGACCCGGCCGCCGCCGCUGCUACCGCCACCGCUGCCAGGAAGGGCGAAUGGGGACGCCGCCUCCGCCGCGCCUGCUGCAGCGGCCGCUGCCGCGCCGGCUGCCAUGCAAUCGCGGCAGGUGCUCCAGGAGCGGCGGUGCAGCGGGCUGCCUGCACCCUGCUGCUGGGCUCGGCUGUGGCUGUGACUGUGCGGCAGAGGGCCAUGGGAGGCCGCAGCGGCAGCAAGUGAGCUGUUGAGGUGCGGCGGCAGCGGCGGAAAGCAGGCUGGCCCCCCCCGAGCCUGCACGUGUCCUCCAUUCCAUCCAGGCGACGAGGCUGCCGAUGAGGGCGGCGGGUCGCCUGCAGCCUGUGGCCACACAUCUGUCCCGUUGGGAGCCCCACUGCCGCCGUAGUGGGAGGCCCUGCGGCGGCUGGCGGCCGGAGGCGGGAGCGGCACCAGCGCAUGGGCCAACACGCCAGCAGUGGAGGUGCGGGUGCUGACGGCGGCGGCGGCGGCGGCGUGACUGUUGCGAAUCACUGGCGCGCGCCCGGGGCCGCCGCCCACGCUGAGGAAUGCACCGGUACUGCCGCCGCAUGCGGCCGCACUGGGGCCUUCACAGUCGCUGUCGCUGUCAAGCACAAGGGCAGGGCUGCCACCGCCAACGCUGCCGCCGCCUUCGCUCCCCGCCCCGGUAGCCCCGGUGAGCCGCUGCUGCUGCUGCUGCUGCCGCUGCUGCUGCCAGCCAGCCAUGUCGUCACUGCCACGCGCCUGCGCCAGCGCCAUGGCUGCAGCGCCGCCCUGUCCAGCAGCCGGCGGCACCAGGCUGCCCACCACAGCCGCCGACAUGGCCGGGCUGCCCACAGAGACGAAACGGUGCAGCGGCGGCCGCGGCGGCGGCGGAACCAGCGGCUGUGCCGUGGAGGGCUGCAGGCCGCCGCCUGCGGGGCUGCUUAUGCCUCCGCAACCACCAUAGGCAGCACUGCUGAACGGUGACGGUGGGGUUCCGGCCGCGGGGUCAAAGGAGCUGCGCGCCGCGUACAGUGCUCCCGCCACGUCCCGCCAGCAGCUGACGGCUCCGUCAUGCGUCAGGCGCCGCCGCGCACUGGCGCUCAUGCCGUGGAUGCCGCCGCUGACACGGACGCCGCCCACAAGGGCCGGGCUGCCUGUGCCGCUCUGACUGGCUCGGCGGGAGGGCGGCAGCGGUGGACCGCCGCCGCCGCCGCCGCCACCACCCCAGGCCGCCGCCGGUGAGUCGCCGCCGCCCCCUCCGCUCGCGACCGAGGCCUGGUCCGAGUCGAUUCCAUUCAGGUGUGGGCUGUGGAGGUGGUGGUUGUGUGCCGGGCUGCCCGCGCCACUGCCAGGCGCGCUCCCGCACACGCUGAUGCGCCGCCUGGACGACAGCGCCCGCUGCAGCAGCAGCUGCGCCUGGGCAGUGGACACCGCCGCCGCUGCGGUGGCUGCAGCCGCACUGGCCGCCUCAGCGGCCGCGGCAGCCGCCGAGGCGGCCCCACCGCCGCCGCCGCCGCUGCGCCGCUGCCGCCGUUGCCGCCAGCGGGCGGAGUACACGUAUGCGCCUAGUGCCAGUGACAGCGCCGCGCCGCCCACCAGGCCGCCGGACCUCGCCGCCGCCCGCUGCUGCGCCGCCCGCCGCCGCGCCGCCGCCACGUCAAUGUCGUCGUGCUCCAGGGCGGGCCCCUGGCCGAGUAGCGGCAGCAUGGGCGCCACCGCCGUGGACACGGCAGCGUUCUGUGCGGCAGCAGGUGCUGGGUGUGCGGUCGCGGGCGUCGCUGCUGGUGGCGGCCCUAGGGAGCCAUCAGCGGUUGGGUCCGUGAAGGCGCUGGCGGCUGUGCCAGUGUUGGCGGCAGCUGCCAUAGCAGUGGGCAGGCCGGCACCGGGCAUGGCGCCGGCGUGCUCCAUGCCAGCGCCUACGGCCCCGCUGCUACUGCCGUUGCCGGGCUGGCACGCGGCUGGCCUGCAGGCGGCUGUGACCAGGAUGUAGGAGCAGCCAGUGGUCAGUGAGUUCUGCGGCGCGCCCGCGAAGGCGGUCACGGCGGCGGGGCCACAGGCCUGCGUGCACGCGCACCAAGGAAGGGUGUCAGGGCGGUACCACGCUUUCUCUCUCUUAAGUUCCGGAGCUCCGUGGUGCGUGGCCCCCCACGUGGAGCUCCGUCGGUUGGUACAUGCGUGUGCAUUCCAACCACUGUGUGGCGCUGCAACCCCGCCACGUGCUUCCCUCACCCUCACUAUCCCUUACCUACCCAGCCUCACCCUGAGCCCUCCCCAGCCCGGCCCGCAGCCCCACCCCCCGCCCGGCCCCCAGCCCACCCUGCCCCCUUCUCCCCCUCACCUGCUCGCUGACGUCCACUGCCAGCUGCAGGAAGAAUGAGCGGUACUGCUCCUCCUGCUCGGCCGGGCCGCACCGGAACAGAGUCGUGGGCACUGACACAAGCAGCGCGGCAGCGGCCGCCGCAAAGCUCACGCCGCCGCCACUCGCCGCCGCCGAUGAGCACCCCACUGCCGCUGCCACGCGGCUGGCUGGCACAGUGGAGGGGCAGGCGUCCGGCAUUCGGCGGGAGAGCGCCGCCACUAUGUUUGCCUGCGGGUUGCGCGGCGCGUGCCGAAUGUUACCGUACUUGAUGGUGGGACAAAGCUCAGCUCCUGGCGCGAUCGCAAUUUGUAGCUAAGCGUUUUCCAGCGACACCAUAAAGCCUGCAGUGCGCUUGCCUGAGUCAGCGGUGAGGGGCCGCUGUGGCUGUGCCCGAGCGCGCGGGGCAUUGCCAGGUAGGGACCCUGGCCGCCACUGCCCAUGCCUCCGCGUCCGACCGCUGCACCCCCGCCACCCCCAGUCGUCCCUCCCGCCGCCAGCACGACGUCCAGUCGCAUCAGGGUGGAGCCGUCGGGCCGGCGGGGGGCGCCCGGCUCGGAGCCCGAGCGCACCGUCACAUAGCCCAGCACUGGCAGGGGGAGGGGAGCAGCAGGCGGGCCGGGGCUUGGGGUAAGCAGGCGGAGGGCACGUGGCAUGCAGACCACUGCCAUAGCAAAUGUCCUACACAUGUUGAAUCCAGACGUGUUCGUGUCGUCCGUGGCACCUGCUGGCACAACCCCAACCAGGACACCCGCGCAGCCUACCAGCGCCAUCCAGCGACGACACCAACGGCGCUGAGUCAUCUGCCUGGAACGAGACACACGGCGACAAGUCCACCACAAGCGCCUCCAGCGUGCCUGCAAGGUGAAGUCGGGACCUAGUCUUCACAUGGUUGGCUGCACACACUGUGACUGUGCCGCCCACUGCAGUUUCAACGACAGCUGGCCGCGAGGUAGUAGCACGACCACCACAAAUCUAUACCCGCCAGCCAUAAUGCACUUUAAAUGCACAGGCAAUACAACCAAGACUGAGGAAUGCCGUAGACCAGCUCCGCACCUGAGGCGAAAGCCAGGCAAAGCACUAGCAGUGCCUUCACACGAAUUCUCAUGCUAUGCUGAGACGCUCAUAGCAGCAAUGCGUUCCGUCGCAAACCCGAAUGUCCCUUGCAAUCCGAGCGGCGUCGCUCAGAUUUCUUCAUUUUCCUCUUGAGUGAAAGACGUUGCAGACAAACUGGCGAAACAACUGUCUGCUAAGAUUUGCGCCAGCUCCGAACUGCAAGAGCCCACCCUGACUUCUGGGCUGUGUCGGUGCCUGGUGCAGAAUCACACAUGAAACUUCGUGGUGCUAUUAAUUUUAAGGGGUCGCGGAGGCAUCAGGUGGCACGGACUUCAAAUUGCUGCAUCGUCCGGCCGACACUCAACCCGAGGCUUCCCAUAAACCGACUGCAGAUUGAAUUGAUGUUUGGCUAUCAAAGUGCCUGGGCGUACACCGUUCUGCCCUCAGAGGCGCGAGAACGAGUAGCUGCGAAGUGGGGUCUCGCUGCCAGAGUGAGCUCGCACGGAUUCUGUGUAACAACUUUGUAACAACGCAAUUCACUUACUUUGUAUACACUUUCAUAAUUAUACGGUGAACUUGAGUACCUGGGGAUCGCAAGAGAGCACAGCGGUUUGUCGUGCCUGGUCGUGCUGCUGCGACCGUCUGCCGCCUUCACGCCCGUAGGAGCUCCCCGCGUCUCCCUGACCAGAAGCCGGCGGUCGCACGCCAGGCCUUCUCUGACGGUAGCAUGCAAAGCACGCCGCCUCGUCCGGUCUGCGGGACCCCCCAACCGACCGACCGACCGACCCCCCCUGCCGUACGACCCCCCCAAAACCCCUCAGAACCCCUUAGUUUUUUGUCAGGUUAUUGCCAAUAAUCGACUGCUCUCGGUGAGCUCUGUCGCCAUGUACAUUGAACUGCCUUGGGAACAUAUUUUGACCGACCGACAGGCGGACAUGUGGACGUGAUGAUGCCGGCAUGUAUCCUUGAUAGAGUGGUCUACUACGCAACGGCUUAUUACAAUGUUGCUUGAUAGUACGAAUGUGCUGACACGUUCACCCAUGCAAAACCCGGCCGGCAUCGGCCUGUCCCUGACCAGCUCCCCAGGCAUCUCCCGAUAAAACGCUCCCCAGACUGUGCACGGUUGCUGAGUCCGGGGUAUACCUACGCGCGCAUCGUUAAGCUGCACCCAUUGCGCCGCGCGCUGCAGGACAGAAGCGCUAGGAACAAAACUUAGCACGAACCUGUGCAAAACCUCGUGGGACCGACCGACCGACCGACCGGCCACUUUGAGGGGUCAGAACUUUGCACCCAGAAACCCAUUUUCAAUUUUGAAAGCGGAUUCGCGCUUUUUUCUCGUUAAGCCCACAUGAACAAGAAAUCUGCCUUGACCUCGCAAGGGAAUAGUGGGCUGAGCCCACGCCACGUCUGUAUGUAGUCUCAGGCGGCAAGCGUCUACCUCAAGUCCCGGACUUAGCCGGGGUCGGUUCGUACAGGUACGGCCCGCCAUGCGUCCAGCCACCAAGCACAAGCACAGAGAUGCCCGCCCAGUCUGCCGUGCUUCAACAUAUAUGCAUGGAGGCGUUGACUUUCAUAUUGCGUGCAAAAGUGACUAUGGUAGAUAGUGUCGCUGGGUGCAGCACCAGCCAAGGUCGUCGCCACCGUCAUCUAGCACGCCGGGUGCCUUCUAAGCGACUCAGUUGAGCCUCACGAGGCCCGUUCGUGGCACAGGCCCACGACCAACCAUCUGUCACACCUACCUACUCGCCCGCCUCAUCCUCCGCACUGCGGACCAGGCCGCGCUCGCCCUCGUGGUGCUUCUCCUUCUCGCUGACACGCGGGAAACAGAUCUGCUGCAGGCCGUGCUGGCACAUGGCGCCCAGGGAACUAACAAAGCCCAGAACCCUGGCGCAAGCACGGUUACUGUGACCAGCCUGUGGGGUACAACUAACACCUACCCAUCCGUCCCAUGUUACGCGGCUGGACGACGGCGGCACGCCCCAGCAGCCGCUUGCCCAAGUGCAGCGAAAUGGGGCGCACGGACCCCACAUGAGGCUGCAAGUGCGCCUUGGGCGUUGCUGCAGCCGAUGCGCCCGGGGCCUUGCUGCGCAUGGGCAGUGGGCUGUCGUACGUAUUAGUCACCACCUCGCUACGACCACUGCUGUGGAACUCGGCCAGCACUCCGCAGCACUCCCCGAGCACUAACAGCUCUUCAGACUUCGUGGUGACCGCCUGAACAGGGAAGAAUGGCGACAGGUAGCGAGUACGUUUUGUGUAGGGUGGCGGCACACGUUAGCGCCCUCUAGUCUCGCACGGUCCUGUCUCCUGUAUCCCAGAAACCUUCCAAUUCUGUGUCGACGCAUGUUUUAAAAAUUUACAGGCACCCAGCAGCAGGUGCACGCCUCAAACGCCCACUUCUCAUGUGUGCACCUAAUCACAACUCUUGCAUGUGCGACCCUCUGUGUGUUCACCGGUGUACAUGGGCAUGUGUUGGGUGUACAUGUCUGCAGCACCUGAGCGAGCAGUGGGUAGUCCAGGUACAGCUUUCCCUCGCGCUCUGUGGCGAAGCUGGCCAGCAGCACCUUGAACGCCAACGGGAGCUUGGCCGGGUCCACUCCAGCCAUCUGCAGUUGGUUGUUUUGCGCGCGUAGGCAAACAAAGGCCGGUCAGAACUUAAGGUGGCUGAGAGCGUGUGAUGUCAAACCCCAUGCAAUGGGGCAUGCAACCAGCGCACGCAAUGUAAGCCAGAAACGCAACCCAUUUUCCUUGUGAAAACCGUACAUCUAUCUGUGAGCCGACCCUACUCCGACUUGGCUGGAAAGUCGAUAACCAUACAACGUGUACGACUGCGCAAUGCGCUGAUAGGACAGCAAGCAAGGUGCAAUGCUCCGUCACGACCACAACCGUACACAGCCACACGUAUGCACUGUACCUACCGGGUCCAGCAGCUCGCGCAGAAGCUUCAACUGUGCAGCAGGCUGGCCCAGCACUUGCAGCGCCGUGCGCAGGUCCGCCAGCACCUGAACACGGAUCACAUGCGGCAAUGGGGGGGUUGCUGGUCGAACCGUCUGGUACCAUCUGUCGGUCAUCGUGCAAGAAGCCCACUCCUUCACAGCCAGCGCCUAACCAUGCUUUGCAACCAUUCCCAUUUUCAGGCAUGCAUUAUGCAAGCCCCACCUCGGGAAUGACCUUUUGCAUCAUGGUUUGCUCGACCAGCUCCGCAGCUGUGCUGGCCGUGCGGCUGUACCUCCACUCCUGGCACAAGUAGGCAAGCGUGGCGAUCUGCGGCGGCGACCGCCAGACCAGGUCGUUCGGCAGCGGCGGAUCCCAGGUCGCGGCCUGGGCUUUGAGCUGCUGCCAAGCGACUCGCAACACGUCGUGAGACACCGUGGGGCUCAGGUUGAGUCGGCGGUGGUGCAUGAUUAAAGGGAAACCGUUGGUCUGCGGCCGUGCACAGCAGAGAGAUGUUAGGCUCUACCCCAAGCUACUGUCAUGGGUGACACAGGAUGGGGGAGCGUGAGGAGCUGAGUGGGGGGCCGCGGCUGGGAUUGUGACGAUGAGGCAGGUGGAAGGGGUCCGCCCAAAAGCCGUGUGGCUUGCGGACGGACAGGCGAGGUAGGAUUAUCUUGAAGGGCUCUGAAACAGCACCAGCGCGUCGGGUCCUGGCACUGCAACACGAACUGCUCACCGGGGUGGCUGCAACGUUGGCCCACAGCGUCGCCAUGGAGCUGCCUGUGACGGCCCAGGCGACCCAGUGGGGGCUGUGCAGCAGGAGUUCCUUGAGGAUGCUGCAGUACACCCAGGAAAAUUGUGCACGUGUCAGCUCCAUUGUGUUGCACGGCUGCUGUGGGUAUGAGCGCAGGCGUCUGCCCCUUGUGCAAUAAGCUUAUGUCGUACAAUUGAACCCCGCCGCCAUCUCCCCUCAGUGCCUUCUCCGCCGCGUGUGAAGCGCCGUCUGGGCGCGUUUCACUGGCAAUUGCCUCUAAUCCUCCAUCGCCCAUGUAAGCAGACGACAUGGUUAGGGAAACCUUGUGCCGACUCACCGCCGCAUGUGCAGCACCGCGUCCACGUCCAGGGUUGAGCCGCGCGGCGGACAGUCGCCCGACACGGGCCGCGUCAUCAGGUAAAAGCUCUCCACCUCGUCGAUCAGCAGGAAGUUCAGACGGUCCCGUGGCAGGCGCCGCAUGAAGUCCUGAAUGGCGUCCGCCAUGACGCCCGCGGAGCAGUUGCUGGGUACGGGCGUGCUGGCGGCGGCAGAGAGCUGCUGGUCGGCUGCGCUCCGCUUGAGUUUAAGGAGGAAGCCCUUAAGGAAGCCACCGCAGCCGCUGUUGCGGUCGCAGUCCAAGCAGUCCACGCGCAGGAAGUUGGGCUCUGAAAGCACCGCGCCGGCGUGCUGCCGGCCACUGCCGCCGCUGCAGAAGUAAGUGUUGGCCACCGCAGGCAGCACCUCGUUGAGCAUGUAGGACUUGCCGUGCUGCACAACGGGCGCAAGAUGGGCGAAAGAGCAUAGCUAGAUAAACGAGCAACAUUCCUUUUGGUCGCUCAGCUGUGUGUCCCUCGACGGUGCUCACGGCUUCAUCAUAGUUCAUCUACCACGCCUAACCUUCUCCCUCCAGGCCCUGUUGCAUAUGGGUGAUACAAGCCGCACACGAUGCUCUCCAACCUUCAGAGUCAGGCCAUUACACCCCACCUUGACCUGACCGUUGAUGAACAGCGGCAAGAUGGGUACGCCGUCACGGUGCAACUCGUCGACGAGUUGCAGCCAGUCCUGCAGCU
RNAcentral lists this long non-coding RNA (23238 nucleotides) under Chlamydomonas reinhardtii. Its description in RNAcentral is "long non-coding RNA (CREI_LNC000975)". Lineage: Eukaryota; Viridiplantae; Chlorophyta; Chlorophyceae; Chlamydomonadales; Chlamydomonadaceae. The record is from RNAcentral.